AUGUUCUUACUCAUUGUUCUUCUUUUCGCUUUCACCAUCUUUGCCUUUGUUGUUACUAAUAAAGGGGCGGGUGAAGCGGUCUCCAAUCGCGGGUAUAAGGAGUAUAAGCUUGGGGAUUAUUCGAAUUGGUUGCAGAAUAAGGUUACGGAUGGGGGUAAUUGGAAAAGGAUUAGAAGCUGUUUGGUGUCCGGGAAGGUUUGUGAGGAUUUUCAAGCCAAGUUUGGGAAAGAUAGUGUUGAACAAUUUCAUGCUCAGAAGUUGUUUGCUCUUCAGGUUAGGGGUUUUAUCUUUUUUUUAUUGAAUUGA
Non-coding RNA from Vicia faba (fava bean), 306 nucleotides. Lineage: Eukaryota; Viridiplantae; Streptophyta; Magnoliopsida; Fabales; Fabaceae. The record is from the annotation of a GenBank genome assembly.